UAACACGUAUGCAAUCCACCUGUAACAGGGGGAUAACCCGGAGAAAUCCGGACUAAUACCCCAUAAUAUGGGCGCUCCGCAUGGAGGGUCCAUUAAAGAGAGCAAUUUUGGUUACAGACGAGCAUGCGCUCCAUUAGCCAGUUGGCGGGGUAACGGCCCACCAAAGCGACGAUGGAUAGGGGUUCUGAGAGGAAGGUCCCCCACAUUGGAACUGAGACACGGUCCAAACUCCUACGGGAGGCAGCAGUGAGGAAUAUUGGUCAAUGGUCGGCAGACUGAACCAGCCAAGUCGCGUGAGGGAAGACGGCCCUACGGGUUGUAAACCUCUUUUGUCGGAGAGUAAAGUGCGCUACGCGUAGCGUAUUGCAAGUAUCCGAAGAAAAAGCAUCGGCUAACUCCGUGCC
RNAcentral lists this ribosomal RNA (404 nucleotides) under uncultured bacterium. RNAcentral's name for it is "bacterial SSU rRNA". It matches the Rfam family "Bacterial small subunit ribosomal RNA", at positions 111 to 509 of the family's 1533-position model. The record is from RNAcentral.